Molecule: ribosomal RNA, 274 nt
Filed under: uncultured bacterium
Lineage: Bacteria
Description: partial 16S ribosomal RNA
Rfam family: Bacterial small subunit ribosomal RNA
Source: RNAcentral
AUACGGAGGGGACAAGCGUUAUUCGGAAUCACUGGGCGUAAAGGACGCGUAGGCGGGUUAUUAAGUCGGGUGUGAAAUCCAAUGGCUCAACCAUUGAACUGCAUUCGAAACUGAUAACCUAGAGUAUGGAAGGGGCAGGUGGAAUUAGUGGUGUAGGGGUAAAAUCCGUAGAUAUCACUAGGAAUACCGAAAGCGAAGGCGACCUGCUGGGACAUUACUGACGCUGAGGCGUGAGAGCGUGGGGAGCAAACAGGAUUAGAAACCCUAGUAGUCC